Pogoniulus pusillus (Red-fronted tinkerbird) is the source of this 1808-nucleotide long non-coding RNA. RefSeq lists it as uncharacterized. The transcript is spliced from 2 exons. Lineage: Eukaryota; Metazoa; Chordata; Aves; Piciformes; Lybiidae. The record is from RefSeq and is a predicted model, not a curated record.
CCCAGAGAAUUUGAUGGAGAGUUUUUGUGGCAGUGCUUGCAAGGAGCGUGUUGAGGUGCUGGAGGGAGGAUUUUUCCAGUAAUUUCUCUCCCACUCUGAGCAUAUUACAAGAAAAGAAUCAAAAACUGACUAUGUUGAUUUUCACACAAAUUUUUGUGCCUGGAAGCUGUCAGAAAUACCCUUGUUAUGAAAGAAAAGAGGAAACACCUUGUGUAUUGCCCUUGGAAAUUUUAACUGAUACAUACACAGCUAUUUCUAGCUGCACAUGCUGAAGCUGUGCAGCGGCAAUGUGAGUCCUCUCACAAGAAUAAUGGCAAGUGGAUGACAUGAUUGAAAUAUAUCAGUAGAAAUAUUGCUAUAACCAUGAUACUGUAAAGACAUGAGUCAGAUAUGGGACUUGUUUACAGCUGCCUUCACAAAUUAACACCCCUGUUUUGUGCUCAUGUCUCUCUGCUUUUUUUUCCUCAGGGUCAUCUUGCUACAAGGAAGGGACAACCUAGUAGUAAUGGUAGCUGGGUGCUUUGCUAUUCUAUAACUCUGAUUUUCCCCCCAAAGACUAAAUGGCACAUCUGGGAAGGAUUAGACAAGUUUUCUAGCACAUAGCACCUUUGCUAGGUCUGAAAUCUAGUAGCUGACCAGAGCUAAAAGCAAACCAAACCAGGUGCUCAGAAUUUGUCCUUUCCACAUAUAUUCCUCCUCUAUCUUAAAGUUGCUCUCGGUUACUUCCUCUAGCUGAAGUUAGACAGUAUAAUGCUGAAGCUUGAAAUAUCUGCCUGAAAAUGUGUGUUCAGCAGUGGUAUGUGAGAGUGGGCAUGAGCAAUAAACAGGACAAAUCCACUGUUCUGGGAAGACGGCAAAACCGAAUUGGUGCUAACAGUGAGCUCAGCUACGGGCACAAAGCUGAGAACAAGCAAGCACAAAAUGAAGUGUAUAAGCGUUUAGAAAGUGUGAAUUAUAAAUAAUUUGCUCUUUUGAAAUGUGUUUUGAGUGGGAAACCUCUGCAGUAAGUAAAGUGAUACUACAGUGUCUGUUGCUGCUCAGCUGUUUAUGCAGGACCCUUCCCUCUACUAACAGCAGAGCCAGGGUGGCUCAACAGCCCACCACUCUGCUCCAGUGAAGCCAAACCACCAGCCUCUCCCAGAUUUCUCAAGCCUUCAUCUUCCUUAGAAGGUUCCAGCCUCAUCAGUUUCCCCCACACUUCCCCUCUUAAAAUGUUCCAGCCCUGGACGUGGGAAGCUGUGCACAACUGUGUGCACAGCUGUGUGCCCAGCUUUCCAGUCUGCCACCACGAUGGCUGGAGCUGCUAGCCAAAACCUUGCAAACAGAUUUUUAAUCUUGAUUUUUGGCCUGUUGCAAGCCUUUAAAAACACUCUGUAUCUCAUGCAGAUCUCCAUUGCCUUGAAGCAAACUGGUGGCAGCAGCACAGCCCAGCUUCACAGCAGCCUGUUGUUUUACUGUUUGCACACAGGAUAGAGUAGCUUCAAGUUCUGUUCCAGACUCUCAGAAGAGGCGGACCCUCUGCUGUUUUGUCAGCUUAAUGGAAAUCUAAUGUAUCUUUUUCUUCUCUCCAGAUGUGUUAACAGAUGCACAGAUCCACAGCUUUGUAGCCAGAUCCCUGAAUAAAUGUGCAAAGAUAAGAGUGUGAAGAGCUUUCUCCUGUCCUUUCCAGAACAUGUCCCAGGAUGUUUCAUGAUGUCCCAAUCCCCAAAGCAUCCAUGCUACCUAUCCUGCUGUGCCAUGGGACAUCAUGGUUAGUCUGGGGAGGGAAUACCUGGGGACUAGUAGCCCUCAUGUACCACCUGAGUCCU